RNAcentral lists this ribosomal RNA (847 nucleotides) under Cryptocandona smithi. RNAcentral describes it as "SSU rRNA". It matches the Rfam family "Eukaryotic small subunit ribosomal RNA", at positions 248 to 1101 of the family's 1831-position model. The record is from RNAcentral. Lineage: Eukaryota; Metazoa; Arthropoda; Ostracoda; Podocopida; Candonidae.
GAAUCUAAACAAUUUUGAGCAGAUCGCACAGUCUUGUACUGGCGACAACUCUUUCAAAUGUCUGCCUUAUCAACUCGAUGGUAGGUUAUGUGCCUACCAUGGUUGUAACGGGUAACGGAGAAUCAGGGUUCGAUACCGGAGAGGGAGCCUGAGAAACGGCUACCACAUCCAAGGAAGGCAGCAGGCACGCAAAUUACCCACUCCCAGUUCGGGGAGGUAGUGACGAAAAAUAACAAUACGGGACUCAUCCGAGGCCCCGUAAUUGGAAUGAAUACAUUUUAAAUCCUUUAAUGAGGAUCCAUUGGAGGGCAAGUCUGGUGCCAGCAGCCGCGGUAAUUCCAGCUCCAAUAGCGUAUAUUAAAGUUGCUGCAGUUAAAAAGCUCGUAGUUGGAUCUCAGUUACAGGCAGGUGGUUCACUUUACGGUGCUACUACUUGUACUGAACCUAUUGCUGGAUCUCUUGGGUGCCCUUCACUGGGUGCCCCUUGAGACCAGAGCGUUUACUUUGAGAAAAUUAGAGUGCUCAAAGCAGGCGAAUGCCUGAAUAGUUGUGCAUGGAAUAAUAAAAAAUGACCUCGGUAUCAUUUUGUUGGUUCACGAUACUCGAGGUAAUGGUUGAAAGGGACAGACGGGGGCAUUCGUAUUGCGACGUUAGAGGUGAAAUUCUUAGAUCGUCGCAAGACGGACUACUGCGAAAGCAUUUGCCAAGAAUGUCUUCAUUAAUCAAGAACGAAAGUCAGAGGUUCGAAGGCGAUCAGAUACCGCCCUAGUUCUGACCUUAAACGAUGCUAACUGGCGAUCCAGUAGGGGUAUUUCAAUGACCUGCUGGGCAGCUUCUGGGAAACCAA